GGACCUGUGAACUAUCAGAAGUUGUUAGAGGUGGUUUUUCCUCAUCUACUGUAAGAUUAAGGAAGCUGGGAAGAUUUCCAGAAGUCGUUUCUUGAGUGUUUUCUACUUAGGCGAUACUGUUUUGGCUCACCAUAAAUUAUGUUCCUUGAAAGGAAUAGUGCAACUUUAGACGACCCAUUGUCUGCUCCCCAUGAAUGUAGCCAAAGAGAUAUUCUAGAGGCCACUGUAAUUGCAAUGCUUGGUGCUUCAGUAAGGAAAUUUGUACCCAGCUCCUUUAAAGGGACACUAUAGUCACCUGAACAACUUUAACUUAAUGAAGC
Non-coding RNA from Pelobates cultripes (western spadefoot toad), 320 nucleotides. Lineage: Eukaryota; Metazoa; Chordata; Amphibia; Anura; Pelobatidae. The record is from the annotation of a GenBank genome assembly.